GAUGAAGAACGCAGCGAAAUGCGAUAAGUAAUGUGAAUUGCAGAAUUCAGUGAAUCAUCGAAUCUUUGAACGCACAUUGCGCCCCCUGGUAUUCCGGGGGGCAUGCCUGUUCGAGCGUCAUUUCACCACUCAAGCCUCGCUUGGUAUUGGGCAACGCGGUCCGCCGCGUGCCUCAAAUCGACCGGCUGGGUCUUCUGUCCCCUAAGCGUUGUGGAAACUAUUCGCUAAAGGGUGUUCGGGAGGCUACGCCGUAAAACAACCCCAUUUCUAAGGUUGACCUCGGAUCAGGUAGGGAUACCCGCUGAACUUAAGCAUAUCAAUAAGCGGAGA
This 330-nucleotide unclassified non-coding RNA is filed under the name soil metagenome. RNAcentral describes it as "partial contains 5.8S ribosomal RNA, internal transcribed spacer 2, and large subunit ribosomal RNA". The stretch from base 1 to 120 matches the Rfam family "5.8S ribosomal RNA", at positions 35 to 154 of the family's 154-position model. The record is from RNAcentral.